AGUACGUGAAACUGCUUAGAGGUUAAACCCGAUGAACCUGAAUAUCCAUUAUGAAAAAUUCAAUGCUUAUAUUGCGAUAUAUAACAAUAUUGUAAAAAAAGUGUGCAAUUUUUUCAUAUAAGGACAUUGUAAUCUGUUAAUGUAAUAAAAAUUUAUCAAAAGAUCUUUUACUUAAGUUUAUUCAAAUUGUUUAUCUUCGGAUUUUCAACAUAAAAUAAAUGUAUUAGAUUUGAUAAAUCAUUGACAGAUAUAAUUAUAUAUUAUGCUUAAAUUCUUUCGAGAAUUUUACAAUGGUAGAUGGAUCUUAUGAUUUAUUUAUUUAAUUGUAUGCAUAAUUAUGAUUGACAAUGCGAUAGAUUCAGGAUACCUUCGGGACCCGUCUUGAAACACGGACCAAGGAGUCUAACAUAUGUGCAAGUCAUUGGGUAUUUUUAAUAAAACCCAAUGGCGUAAUUAACUUAACUGUUAUUAAUUUAAUGGGAUUAAUUUAUAAUUUUUUAAUAAAUUAUUUAUUCAAUCCCGGGGCGUUCUAUACAGUUAUGCAUAAUGAUAUUUAUAUUAUUUAUGCCUCUAACUAGAGCGUACCUUGAGC
RNAcentral lists this ribosomal RNA (592 nucleotides) under Meliscaeva auricollis. RNAcentral's name for it is "eukaryotic LSU rRNA". The record is from RNAcentral. Lineage: Eukaryota; Metazoa; Arthropoda; Insecta; Diptera; Syrphidae.